RNAcentral lists this non-coding RNA (25 nucleotides) under Rattus norvegicus (Norway rat). Lineage: Eukaryota; Metazoa; Chordata; Mammalia; Rodentia; Muridae. The record is from RNAcentral.
CACUUUCUUAGUGCUGCAGGUAGGU